UGGGGGAUAGUGUAAUGGUAGCACGCUGGACCCUGGGUCCUCAAUCGUGAGAUUCUCAACCUAGUAGUGAGGGUUCGAGUCACUCUCCCCCAG
This 93-nucleotide transfer RNA is filed under the name Chloroflexota bacterium. RNAcentral describes it as "Chloroflexi bacterium tRNA-OTHER". It matches the Rfam family "tRNA". From Rfam's summary of the family: Transfer RNA (tRNA) molecules are approximately 80 nucleotides in length. Their secondary structure includes four short double-helical elements and three loops (D, anti-codon, and T loops). The record is from RNAcentral. Lineage: Bacteria; Bacillati; Chloroflexota.